UACAGAGGUGGCAAGCGUUGUUCGGAAUUACUGGGCGUAAAGGGCGCGUAGGCGGCCUUCUAAGUCAGACGUGAAAUCCCCCGGCUUAACCUGGGAACUGCGUCUGAUACUGGGAGGCUUGAGUAUGGGAGAGGGAUGUAGAAUUCCAGGUGUAGCGGUGAAAUGCGUAGAUAUGCGGAGGAACACCGAUGGCGAAGGCAAUCCCCUGGGCCUGCACUGACGCUCAUGCACGAAAGCGUGGGGAGCAAACAGG
Molecule: ribosomal RNA, 253 nt
Filed under: uncultured bacterium
Lineage: Bacteria
Description: partial 16S ribosomal RNA
Rfam family: Bacterial small subunit ribosomal RNA
Source: RNAcentral